UACAGAGGGGGCAAGCGUUGUUCGGAAUUACUGGGCGUAAAGGGCGCGUAGGCGGCCUUCUAAGUCGAACGUGAAAUCCCUGGGCUCAACCCAGGAACUGCGUCCGAUACUGGAAGGCUUGAAUCCGGGAGAGGGAUGUGGAAUUCCGGGUGUAGUGGUGAAAUGCGUAGAGAUCCGGAGGAACCCCAGAGGCGAAGGCGGCGUCCUGGCUCGCAUCUGACGCUCAGACACGACAGCAUGGGGAGCGAACGGG
This 253-nucleotide ribosomal RNA is filed under the name uncultured bacterium. RNAcentral's name for it is "partial 16S ribosomal RNA". It matches the Rfam family "Bacterial small subunit ribosomal RNA", at positions 524 to 776 of the family's 1533-position model. The record is from RNAcentral.